GAGUUUGAUUCUGGCUCAGGACGAACGCUGGCGGCGUGCGUAACACAUGCAAGUUGAACGACGGUGUCAUGAAGUGGUAACACGGAAUGGCAUACGGAGUAGCGGACGGGUGAGUACAACAUGAGAAGCUGUCCAAUAGUGGGGGAUAACGUUCGGAAACGGACCCUAAUACCCAUAGGCCUUUUGGUUAAAGCAGCGAUGCGCUAUUGGAGGUGCUCGUGUCCUAUCAGCUGGUUGGUGAGGUAACGGCUCACCAAGGCGACGACGGGUAGCCGGCCUGAGAGGGUGUCCGGCCACACUGGAACUGAGAUACGGUCCAGACUCCUACGGGAGGCAGCAGUGGGGAAUAUUGGGCAAUGGGAGAAAUCCUGACCCAGCGACGCCGCGUGAACGAAGAAGGCCUUCGGGUCGUAAAGUUCUUUUAUGUGGGAAGAAGGAAGUGA
RNAcentral lists this ribosomal RNA (443 nucleotides) under Synergistales bacterium canine oral taxon 178. RNAcentral's name for it is "bacterial SSU rRNA". It matches the Rfam family "Bacterial small subunit ribosomal RNA", at positions 9 to 457 of the family's 1533-position model. The record is from RNAcentral. Lineage: Bacteria; Thermotogati; Synergistota; Synergistia; Synergistales.